RNAcentral lists this small nucleolar RNA (92 nucleotides) under Oryza sativa (Asian cultivated rice). RNAcentral describes it as "Z158a small nucleolar RNA". It matches the Rfam family "Small nucleolar RNA R38". Rfam says of the family: snoR38 is a C/D box small nucleolar RNA conserved across yeast, human, Arabidopsis and rice. Lineage: Eukaryota; Viridiplantae; Streptophyta; Magnoliopsida; Poales; Poaceae. The record is from RNAcentral.
UCAAGGUGAAUGAUGAAAUCACAAGUAAAUACAGUUAUCCCUGUCUGAUUCCUUUCUAAGGGUGCUGAGAAUACUUAAAUCUGACACAUUAA